ACAUUCACUACUUCAUCAUGGCUUUACAGCUGCUGUUCUUCAUCCUCCUCAAUUUGAUUCAUGAAGCAAAAGCUGAAGCUCUUCCUCAACCAAACCUAAAAGUGGAUCGACUUGUGAUGACAGAAACCGACUCAGUCACACUGAAUUGUUCGGCAAAUGUUUCUGUGUCUCGGUGUGAUUUCUACUUUGAAAACAACAAAGUUUUCAGACUCUUCCUGUGUGAAAACACUGACAGGAUCUGAGAUGUUAAGGAUGUUAAAUAAAAGAUCACCAGCUGAUGUCAAAGUUAAAUGUUCCUACGUUAAAAUGAAUGAUGCUCUCAGUACCACAUCGUCAGACAGUGAAUCAACAACCAUCACCAUAAACAAUCUUCUUCCACCCACACUGAUAGUGAAUCCUCUGGUGAUCACAGAGUCAGACUCAGUCACUUUAAACUGUCAGCCUCCAUCUUCUGUGAAAAAUUGUCAUUUCUACUUUGGGAGAGAAAACA
Long non-coding RNA from Poeciliopsis prolifica (blackstripe livebearer), 490 nucleotides. RefSeq lists it as uncharacterized. The record is from RefSeq and is a predicted model, not a curated record. NCBI's taxonomy places the organism in Eukaryota, Metazoa, Chordata, Actinopteri, Cyprinodontiformes, Poeciliidae. The transcript has 4 exons.